GUACACGCUGUGACUAGCAUAUCAAUAAGCGGAGGAAAAGAAACUAACAAGGAUUCCCCUAGUAACGGCGAGUGAAGCGGGAAGAGCUCAAAUUUGAAAUCUUAAAGGGUUUCCCUUUACGAAUUGUAGUUUAAAGAAGUGUUUUCUGUUGAGGUUUUGGUAAAAGUUCUUUGGAAUAGGACAUCAUAGAGGGCGAGAAUCCCGUAUUUGACCUUUACUUUCAACUUUGUGAUACACUUUCAAAGAGUCGGAUUGUUUGAGAAUGCAGUCCAAAAUGGGUGGUAAAUUUCAUCUAAAGCUAAAUAUUGGCGAGAGACCGAUAGCGAACAAGUACCGUGAGGGAAAGAUGAAAAGAACUUUGAAAAGAGAGUUAAACAGUACGUGAAAUUGUCAAAAGGGAAGCGUUUGACACCAGUGUUGUUUUUCUGAAAAUCAAUUAAAGAACUGUUUAUGCUAAGUUGUUUAGACUUUAUCAGCUAACUGUUUAGUUUUGAGCUUUUCUUUAAUGCACUUUUCAGUUAACAAGUCAACAUCAAUUUCUUUUGCUGUAAAAAAGCUUGAGGAAGGUGGCUUGAGAUUCGUCUUAAGUGUUUAUAGCCUCUUGCCUAUGCAGUCGGAGAGAUUGAGGUCUGCAGCGUAGAUCCUUCGGGGCUAAAUGCAUUUGUGCUAAGUUAUAGCAUUUUAUAGACAACUUGUUGACUAUGAUUUGUCCUGUAGCUUACUCGCUUAUGUUAUUUUACCUACGCUUAGGAUGUUGAAGUCAUCGUAUCGCGC
This 774-nucleotide ribosomal RNA is filed under the name uncultured Neocallimastigales. RNAcentral describes it as "partial large subunit ribosomal RNA". It matches the Rfam family "Eukaryotic large subunit ribosomal RNA", at positions 22 to 645 of the family's 3401-position model. Lineage: Eukaryota; Fungi; Neocallimastigomycota; Neocallimastigomycetes; Neocallimastigales. The record is from RNAcentral.